GUUCGAACUUCCAUCACCAGGGUUCGAACUUGUCACCAGGGUUCGAACUUCCAUCACCAGGGUUCGAACUUCCAUCACCAGGGUUCGAACUUGUCACCAGGGUUCGAACUUCCAUCACUAGGGUUCGAACUUCCAUCACCAGGGUUCGAACCUCCAUCACCAGGGUUCGAACUUCUGUCACCAGGGUUCGAACUUUCAUCUCACUAGGGUUCGAAAUUCCAUCACUAGGUUUCGAACUUCUGUCACCAGGGUUCGAAAACUGAUUGAACGAUUUUAUGAUUUUUUCCCCAGUUAUAGAUGACUGAUAUUAUAAGGAUUUGUUUUGUUUGUUUUAUUAAGAGGAAAUUACAUACAUACAUACAUACAUACAUACAUACAUACAAAUACACACACACACUAUAACUGUUAUACAUAAUUAGUACCUGGUAAUGGAGUAAUUUAUUCAGUAAUUCAUUAAUAUAUAUCCACAUAAUUUCUGCUAUGGAGACAAUAAUAAACCUCUCUGUAUGUAUAUUCAUUCAGUCAUAAUAAGAGUACAAACAAUUUAUAAUCAAUUAAAAGCGUUAUAACAGGUAACUUACAUCAUCCGGCCAGGUAACAUAGGUGUACGGCCAGGUAACAGACAGGUGUACAUCAUCCACAACACUGAUCAGCUUCACCUUGCCCUCUCUCUCCAACCAGGAGCGAACUCGUAACAAUGGUUUUAAAUUAGACAAAUUUAGAUUUAGGCGCGAAAUAGGUAAACUUUGGCUUGGAAAUAGAGUAGUGGAUGAGUGGAACAA
This is a long non-coding RNA of Homarus americanus (American lobster), 782 nucleotides long. RefSeq lists it as uncharacterized. Lineage: Eukaryota; Metazoa; Arthropoda; Malacostraca; Decapoda; Nephropidae. The record is from RefSeq and is a predicted model, not a curated record. The transcript is spliced from 3 exons.